GAUGAACGCUAGCGGGAGGCCUAAUACAUGCAAGUCGAGCGGUAGAGUGACUUCGGUUGCUUGAGAGCGGCGAACGGGUGAGUAACGCGUACACAAUCUACCUUUAAGAGGGGAAUAGCCCUGGGAAACUGGGAUUAAUGUCCCCAUGGCAUCACGAGACGGCAUCGUUUUGUGAUUAAAGCUGAGGUGCUUAGAGAUGAGUGUGCGUCUGAUUAGCUAGUUGGUGCGGUAACGGCGCACCAAGGCGACGAUCAGUAGGGGGCUGAGAGCGUGGACCCCCACACGGGUACUGAGACACGGACCCGACUCCUACGGGAGGCAGCAGUAAGGAAUAUUGGUCAAUGGAGGAAACUCUGAACCAGCCAUCCCGCGUGCAGGAAGAAUGCCCUAUGGGUUGUAAACUUCUUUUGGAUGGGGGCGAAAAAACGGGAUUUAGUCCUGGACUGACGGUACCAUCAGAAUAAGCACCGGCUAACUCCGUGCCAGCAGCCGCGGUAAUGU
This 501-nucleotide ribosomal RNA is filed under the name uncultured bacterium. Its description in RNAcentral is "bacterial SSU rRNA". It matches the Rfam family "Bacterial small subunit ribosomal RNA", at positions 28 to 526 of the family's 1533-position model. The record is from RNAcentral.